This 487-nucleotide ribosomal RNA is filed under the name uncultured bacterium. RNAcentral's name for it is "partial 16S ribosomal RNA". It matches the Rfam family "Bacterial small subunit ribosomal RNA", at positions 29 to 507 of the family's 1533-position model. The record is from RNAcentral.
AUUGAACGCUGGCGGCAUGCCUUACACAUGCAAGUCGAACGGCAGCACGGGUGCUUGCUCCUGGUGGCGAGUGGCGAACGGGUGAGUAAUACAUCGGAACAUGUCCUGUAGUGGGGGAUAGCCCGGCGAAAGCCGGAUUAAUACCGCAUACGAUCUACGGAUGAAAGCGGGGGACCGUCGGGCCUCGCGCUAUAGGUUUGGCCGAUGGCUGAUUAGCUAGUUGGAGGGGUAAAGGCCCACCAAGGCGACGAUAAGUAGCUGGUCUGAGAGGACGACCGGCCACAUGGGGACGGAGACACGGCCCAAACUCCUACGGGAGGCAGCAGUAGGGAAUCUUCGGCAAUGGACGAAAGUCUGACCGAGCAACGACGCGUGAGUGAAGAAGGUUUUCGGAUCGUAAAACGCUGUUGGUAGAGAAGAACGUUGGUGAGAGUGGAAAGCUCAUCAAGUGACGGUAACGACCCAGAAAGGGACGGCUAACUACGUG